AUGACCAGAGUUCCGCGAGGAUAUAUAGCCCGGAGAUGAUGAACAAAAAUGAUUUCAUUUGCCUCAAACAUUAGAGGGGAUCAUUUAAGACUUAAUCGAAUGAUUACCCAACAGGUAAAAAGAGCUUUUGUUUCCUCUCAUUGA
This 144-nucleotide ribosomal RNA is filed under the name Triticum aestivum (bread wheat). RNAcentral's name for it is "partial small subunit ribosomal RNA". Lineage: Eukaryota; Viridiplantae; Streptophyta; Magnoliopsida; Poales; Poaceae. The record is from RNAcentral.